CAGCGCUCUGGCCGGCGAAAAUGUUUUGAAGUACUUCUUCGACAAGCUGGAUGCUUAUGAACAAGCGCUCACUGAUUCUGAAGACGAUCUGAGCGACGAUGAAAGCGGCAUAAUAAGACUGAAUAAUAGCCCUAAUCUACAACUGAGCGAAGAUAAAGACAAGGAAGAAUGUAUCGGACUGGCGUCAGACGAGUUGGACCGUAAGAUAUCAGAGGCUAUAUCGAUAGUAACAUUUGAUGGGGAUAAAGACAGAGAAAUGGGGAAAAUCCGUAACUUUGACUGUAAAUGCUACACGAGGAGAAAAGAGAACUCUCUGUAUGGGAGACAGUCCUGUAGCCAGAAGCUUUCUCCAGACAUUAUGUACAACAUACGGCUGGAUUCUUUAGCUGUGGAAAAAGAGUGGCAGGACAUGCAAAUUAUUGGACAUUUAGAGGCAAACAGACGCACAGUGCAAACUUCGGAGAUGGUAACAUCCACAAAGAAGACCCCGACAAAGAGAAAGUGUGCCCGAACGACUUAUUUCAUUGGAGGCAACGAGAUCUGCAAGAAUACUUUUCUGUUUCUUAUGGGCCACCAGAUCCAGUCUGUAUCCAGGUCAGAGGGUCACUGCAGUCACCCGGAUCCAGUACGUAUCCAGCCCAGUUGGUGGAUCAGCACCUGGAAAGGACCUCUACAGCCCUGAAUGUCAGCGGAGACCAGGACAACUAGAUGAGCCCCAGAUACAGAUCCCCUGUAAAGACCUUGUCUCAGAUGACCACCGGGACAAGACCACAGGAACCUAAUUGAGUCCUCUGCACAUUCUGACUUUGCUGCAGCCUGGAAUUGAACUACUGGUUUCGUCUGGCCAGAGGAGAACUGGCCCCCCGACUGAGCCUGGUUUCUCUCAAGGUUUUUUCUCCAUUCGGUCAGCGAUGGAGUUUUGGUUCCUUGCUGCUGUCGCCUCUGGCUUGCUUGGUUGGGGACACUUCAUUUACAGCGAUAUCGUUGACUUGAUUGUAAAUGAUUGCACAGAUACUAUUUAAACUGAACUGAGCUGCAUGAUGACAUCACUGAAUUCAAU
Cyprinus carpio carpio is the source of this 1060-nucleotide long non-coding RNA. Lineage: Eukaryota; Metazoa; Chordata; Actinopteri; Cypriniformes; Cyprinidae. The record is from Ensembl.